This 90-nucleotide microRNA precursor is filed under the name Canis lupus familiaris (dog). RNAcentral's name for it is "mir-8799 microRNA precursor family". It matches the Rfam family "mir-8799 microRNA precursor family". RNAcentral also lists the same sequence under 1 other name. The record is from Rfam by way of RNAcentral. Lineage: Eukaryota; Metazoa; Chordata; Mammalia; Carnivora; Canidae.
GGGAGGAGGCCGGAUCCUGGGCUGUGUCCCCAGCGCCCAGGGCUCCCAGGCCUGCGCUGUUUGAUUUGCGCUCCCGGGGCACAGUCCCCU